CGUAAAAACUUCUAGUGUAGACGCACCUUUAGACGCCGUCUUGGGGGUCCCCACCUUUGUUGACAUUGGCCGAUGAGAUGCUCAAUUGGCUCACCUGUUUGAAUAUUCAGCAGUUGGUCGCCGCAGCAGGGCCAUUUUAUUCCUUCCUCUCCUGUAAUUCUUUUUCAAUCACGGACCAAGGAAACCCCUACAAGUGCCUGCUCACCUGGCUUGACCUGUCCUGAACACUGUCCAGGAAAACAUCGCCAGUACUUCGUAGGGGUAGUCGUGGAUUAAUAAAUAAACUUCAACCAAAUUAAUGGGAUUUCGGAUAUUACUGGCGCAGAAACUCGCAAUAGCAAUACGUAUGAAUUGCCCUGCAGUCAUUUGAUUGAAUGGGAUGUUGUUACGCUUUAGUAAUUUUCCAAAACAAGAUUUUCCUACCUGUUGGCCAUUGCGAAAACUAAGAUCCUCGGUUGAGAUGGAGACCGUUGGAGCUUUGGGAGGGGGAGACUCUUCACUGGGAUUUAUACAAACUUCCGUUGUGCCAACACUUAUCUGUAAAUAAAAAUGCAUUGUCCAUAUAUUUUGCUCACAUUCAAAAAGCAAUAUGACUCACCUGCAUAAUUGGCGAGGAGACGUCUUUUCUUUUUUUAUGUCCAAUUUGUAAUAGAAGGGUUUCGACUUUCACCGGUUCCCGACAGCCAUUUACUGUGGCAUAUGUAACGAUUCAUAAAUUUUUUUACAAUGAAUAAAAGUAACCACAGAG
Long non-coding RNA from Daphnia carinata, 748 nucleotides. RefSeq lists it as uncharacterized. The record is from RefSeq and is a predicted model, not a curated record. Lineage: Eukaryota; Metazoa; Arthropoda; Branchiopoda; Diplostraca; Daphniidae. The transcript is spliced from 2 exons.